RNAcentral lists this ribosomal RNA (1538 nucleotides) under Salmonella enterica. RNAcentral describes it as "Bacterial small subunit ribosomal RNA". It matches the Rfam family "Bacterial small subunit ribosomal RNA". The record is from RNAcentral. Lineage: Bacteria; Pseudomonadati; Pseudomonadota; Gammaproteobacteria; Enterobacterales; Enterobacteriaceae.
UUGAAGAGUUUGAUCAUGGCUCAGAUUGAACGCUGGCGGCAGGCCUAACACAUGCAAGUCGAACGGUAACAGGAAGCAGCUUGCUGCUUUGCUGACGAGUGGCGGACGGGUGAGUAAUGUCUGGGAAACUGCCUGAUGGAGGGGGAUAACUACUGGAAACGGUGGCUAAUACCGCAUAACGUCGCAAGACCAAAGAGGGGGACCUUCGGGCCUCUUGCCAUCAGAUGUGCCCAGAUGGGAUUAGCUAGUUGGUGAGGUAACGGCUCACCAAGGCGACGAUCCCUAGCUGGUCUGAGAGGAUGACCAGCCACACUGGAACUGAGACACGGUCCAGACUCCUACGGGAGGCAGCAGUGGGGAAUAUUGCACAAUGGGCGCAAGCCUGAUGCAGCCAUGCCGCGUGUAUGAAGAAGGCCUUCGGGUUGUAAAGUACUUUCAGCGGGGAGGAAGGUGUUGUGGUUAAUAACCGCAGCAAUUGACGUUACCCGCAGAAGAAGCACCGGCUAACUCCGUGCCAGCAGCCGCGGUAAUACGGAGGGUGCAAGCGUUAAUCGGAAUUACUGGGCGUAAAGCGCACGCAGGCGGUCUGUCAAGUCGGAUGUGAAAUCCCCGGGCUCAACCUGGGAACUGCAUUCGAAACUGGCAGGCUUGAGUCUUGUAGAGGGGGGUAGAAUUCCAGGUGUAGCGGUGAAAUGCGUAGAGAUCUGGAGGAAUACCGGUGGCGAAGGCGGCCCCCUGGACAAAGACUGACGCUCAGGUGCGAAAGCGUGGGGAGCAAACAGGAUUAGAUACCCUGGUAGUCCACGCCGUAAACGAUGUCUACUUGGAGGUUGUGCCCUUGAGGCGUGGCUUCCGGAGCUAACGCGUUAAGUAGACCGCCUGGGGAGUACGGCCGCAAGGUUAAAACUCAAAUGAAUUGACGGGGGCCCGCACAAGCGGUGGAGCAUGUGGUUUAAUUCGAUGCAACGCGAAGAACCUUACCUGGUCUUGACAUCCACAGAACUUUCCAGAGAUGGAUUGGUGCCUUCGGGAACUGUGAGACAGGUGCUGCAUGGCUGUCGUCAGCUCGUGUUGUGAAAUGUUGGGUUAAGUCCCGCAACGAGCGCAACCCUUAUCCUUUGUUGCCAGCGGUUAGGCCGGGAACUCAAAGGAGACUGCCAGUGAUAAACUGGAGGAAGGUGGGGAUGACGUCAAGUCAUCAUGGCCCUUACGACCAGGGCUACACACGUGCUACAAUGGCGCAUACAAAGAGAAGCGACCUCGCGAGAGCAAGCGGACCUCAUAAAGUGCGUCGUAGUCCGGAUUGGAGUCUGCAACUCGACUCCAUGAAGUCGGAAUCGCUAGUAAUCGUGGAUCAGAAUGCCACGGUGAAUACGUUCCCGGGCCUUGUACACACCGCCCGUCACACCAUGGGAGUGGGUUGCAAAAGAAGUAGGUAGCUUAACCUUCGGGAGGGCGCUUACCACUUUGUGAUUCAUGACUGGGGUGAAGUCGUAACAAGGUAACCGUAGGGGAACCUGCGGUUGGAUCACCUCCUU